RNAcentral lists this long non-coding RNA (347 nucleotides) under Elaeis guineensis (African oil palm). RNAcentral's name for it is "long non-coding RNA (EGUI_LNC019432)". Lineage: Eukaryota; Viridiplantae; Streptophyta; Magnoliopsida; Arecales; Arecaceae. The record is from RNAcentral.
UCCUUCCAUUAUAGCUUUUUGUGCUGCAGCAAGCCUCUUAUUUGUUCUCAUUCUUUAUGCAAAUAUUGGCUUCGCAGAUUCUGCUAUUCGUGAAUGUUGGCCUAUGAAUUAGUUGAGUAUUUAACCUGAAUCCUCAUAUUUUGAACCAACCUAUUAUAUGGGCUUUAGUGUCUUCAUAAAAGACUACAUCUCAUGUACUUGAACCGUGAUCUAUGAUAUCCCCAUAAAGAUAAAUUUUUCUGUUCAUUGUUGGUUUUUCGAUUUCUGUUAGUAAUUUGAGGACAUUUACUGGAAAUUUGGUUCCCCUCUUGAUGGCGGAGAUUACACGAAUUAAACUUGAAUGAGUG